This 497-nucleotide ribosomal RNA is filed under the name uncultured bacterium. RNAcentral describes it as "partial 16S ribosomal RNA". It matches the Rfam family "Bacterial small subunit ribosomal RNA", at positions 28 to 507 of the family's 1533-position model. The record is from RNAcentral.
GACGAACGCUGGCGGCGUGCCUAAUACAUGCAAGUUGAGCGAUGAAGAUUGGUGCUUGCACCAAUUUGAAGAGCAGCGAACGGGUGAGUAACGCGUGGGGAAUCUGCCUUUGAGCGGGGGACAACAUUUGGAAACGAAUGCUAAUACCGCAUAACAACUUUAAACAUAAGUUUUAAGUUUGAAAGAUGCAAUUGCAUCACUCAAAGAUGAUCCCGCGUUGUAUUAGCUAGUUGGUGAGGUAAAGGCUCACCAAGGCGAUGAUACAUAGCCGACCUGAGAGGGUGAGCAGCCACAUUGGGACUGAGACACGCCCCAAACUCAUUGAGGAGGGAGCCGUACGGCAACUUCGGGCAUGGGUGGAAGUCUGACCGCGCAACGCCGAGUGAGUGAACAAGGUUUUCGGAUCGGAAAACUCUGUUGGUAGGGAAGAACGUUGGUGAGAGUGGAAAGAUCAGCAAGUGACGGUAACUACUCAGAAAGGGACGGCUAACUACGUG